AAAAAAAAAAACCUUUCCACAGAAUAGAUGCGUAGAUGUGUUACAGAAAAAACGACGCCACAUGAACGCAACAUAGGCAUCCAUGGAGCUGCAUUAGCUUUGUGAAUGCCUGAAGCCACGGUGCUCAUAGAAUUCCCGGUGCAAUCUGCGGGACCUUAUUGCGCUGCGCUGAUAUGUUCUCUAUCCGCUAUCCUUCUAAUACUCAAUGAAGCGUCGCAGCAGAGCAGCUUCCCCCGACAGCAUCCUGCUGCUGCGCAACCAAAACAUCCAUCCUGACCCGCUCCCCGAAAGAUGCUUUUAUUUAUUUCACAGAAAAGCCAUGAUGGUGCCGGUGGUGCUGAGCAGGGUCGACAUGACUGGAGUCUGACAUCAGCAGCGUGCGUGUGUGCGCGCGCGUGUGUGCGUGUGUGUGCGUGUGUGUGUCCCCUCCCCUCUCUGACCGACCAACGAGAAAAAGGUGGGUGGCACUUCAGCGGAAAAAGCAGCAUUGCCUUUUAUUGUUUGAUUUAUCUCUCCCUUAAAACGUGCGUGUUUUCUUUGUUUUUUAGAUGGUGUUCUGGAACAAAAGUCAUUUGUUUUUACAAUUAGAGAUUACAUAAAGAGGUCGGAUUGUGACCAGGAUUAGAAUGGUAUCUACUACUCUAAAUAUAUAUUAGAGUUCUCAUUCGAGGCUAAAGAAAAAGUCCAGUUUAAGCUAACUAAAUUCAGUAAAUGUUUGCUCAUUUAAGAAUCAUUUUCCAGGAAUAAGAGCAGCAAAGUUUCCGCAUCCUUUUCAAAUGGGAACACUGACUAAAAAUGAAUUAGUGUGCCGCAAAUUUGUGUUUGCGUGCAUGUUAAUACCUCAUAUGGGUUAUUUAGGUCAGCAAGCAUGAAAGACUGCUGGGAGAAGACACUGCCAUAUUCAUUGUACGUUUUAUUCUUUAUUAUGGGUGUGUUCCAUAAUGAUCAAUCAAAACCCCAAAUCCUGAAACACUGAAUCAUAAAAAAAACUAUUUUCAUGACAUAUGGAAAGAUGCAGUAGCGCCAAGAAUAAAAAGGGUCAGUGGCGAGUUCCUUUUUCAGAAAGGCAUGAACGGCCUGUAGCGGCAUGGACCCGCCUCCUCAUCCACAUGCUAAUCCCAUGUAAACGAGCAGCUUUUACGACUACGUGUUUUGCAACUGAAGACUCGAGUCAUGUUUGAAAAUGUAGUAGUAUUAGUUGUAUACAAAAGUCAUAUUUCCAUGAGAUCAAGAGGGAAAAUACACUGCUGUGAAUCAUAGUUAUGUUUGUGCAAAACGGUGAAGCAUUGAAUCAGAUUGUCAUAACGUCCAUGAGUCACUGAGACUGACAUGUCUUUCAUAUGAUCGGAACAUGACAAUCACUGAGACUGAUUCAGAGUGCCAUGGCAACACUGAAACAAUAGACGACUAUGCAUGCUAAAAUAAAUGAACUGAGAACCAAUUUACCAGUGACGGCGAAACGAGAUGAGUCAGAGUGCGUACACACACACACGUUGUUCCCAUUGGUCAGUCAGACCAGCUCCAGUAGUUAACAAAACAUUGGCCAAAUUACUAGUUUUUAGGCAUUAUGAGCAAAUACAGAAUCCCUUUAUCUUCUCUAUCUUAUCAUUUCUAAAGCCUCACAUUAAGCAAAAGAAGUAAAUUAUAAAAAAAAAAAAGAUUUGUCAACUGCCACUUUCUGAUCUUGGCGUCACUCUUUAAAGAUGUACAAUACGUUCAAUGACAGAAAUGAUUCAAAUAUGGAGAGUUGUAAGCCCCAUAAUUAAAAGCACCACCGAUAAUAACAGCUGUAGUGGGUGCAGUAGAUUAAUAAUGACAACAAAGGAAGAAAUGGUGUCAGCAAUAGUAAUGUGACUACUACUAACUUAACAAAGACAGUAGCAGUGAGGCAGGACCGCUGCAAGAUCCAAGAUGGCCGCCCGUGUACUGUGCUCCCGUAGUCUUCUGUUUGUUUCUCUCGUCUGCAGCUCUCUCUCUGAUCGCAUUCAGCAGGGAGGAUCUUUAAAACAUUAGACGACACACUGUUAAACAUUUCUGACGUAUUUCAUGAGAAUGGAAAGUUCCACGGAGCUUUUGGUUGCAGGAGCAGCUUCUCUCGUCUGGAUUUGCCGGAGACGACGUUGGGGUAAACGAGCUGGAGCCCUCUGUUAAAGCUCUUUUCAGUUUACAGUUUUGAGCUUGUUCUGCUCCAGUUCUUCUGACCACACCAGAGGACCAGCUUGUCCACCUCCUGCCUGUAUGAGGUGAGUUUGUAGGAGUAAAACUGUUUGGUCGAUGAGGUGCCAGGGGACGGGGGGAGGUGGCCGUCCUCCUCGGCAGACAGGCUCGGAUGCAGUGGUGCUGCUAGCAGGCAGCCGGGGACAGUGGGAGGCAGAAGAGGGGACAGAGUUGGAUUAGGGAACGGCGAUGGAAAGUCCAGAGUUGCCGUCUUGCUGCUUGUCUCUUCUGGCUACAGCUUGGGCCUCCCGCCUGGCAGCACGAUCCACCACGACGGCGUCAGACGUCUGUCAGUAGUCUGGCCUUGGAGAAAUUUCUCUUGAAAAUGAAUUUCGGCCAUGAGGUGGGACAGGUCUACUACAAUCAAUAUUGCCAUGGGAUGGGUGGUGUAAGUAUCGGAAGGAGGGGAAGCUGGAGGUUGGUUCUGGGGAUUGGGAAAAGGGGCACAGCCCAGGAAGAUGCUGAUGGGUUUGACGGAGGUGGCGAGAAGGCCCACGCCGCGGCCCGGACGGCAUGGCCUGUGACCAUUGUAUGCUAUUAGGUCCAGAGGGUUGAGGCCACCGUCAGUCUCUGAUGCUUCACCCUCUUGUAGGUGUUUCUUGGAACCCUUCAAAAAUCCUUUCAGAGAUGAAGAAGCAGUGGAUCACUGCCAACAGAUCACCUGCAACACCGAAGGAAUCUUACUUCAAGGAUCCAAAAAAAAACCAGGGGCUGAAGGAUGUGACAUGUGGUGGCAGCCAUAACACAAUGAGCCUCUGCAUAAGCGGGUGUUCCUGUGCGACAAAGUGCAGGCCAGGGCGGUGAUAUGUUCCCUGGCAUGCCUCCCACGCUCAGCGAUGUCUGGUGUCCGGGCAGUGAGGCAAUGGUUUGCCGUUCCCUAAAGUGUAUCCUCCUAAAGCCUGAUCAUAAGAGCCCCUGCUGGCUUUCAACAGACACUUAUACACACACACACACACACACACACACACACACACACACACACACACACACACACACACACUCACACACUCUCUGUACAGCCAAUAAUCAAAAACAAGAGCAACCCAUAUGCACAAUAAAAAACUUAAUUCAAAUAGAAGUUAAAAAACGAAAUAGUUAAAACAUGCAAUUAAAUAAAGUUAACUCACUCUGGUUGACUCAGUUUCAUGUUUGUGCCACUAGAUGAAGCCGUUGACCAAUAAAUUCUGUUUGUGUAAGUGAAUGUGUGCGGCGUUCACAGAAGGAGAUUAAAGGGAUAUCGAUGACUGUUGAAUUUUGCGUGUGGUAUUGAGUGUUAGCAAUAGUCACUGUUCUGCUGACGUGUGUAUAUUUGCCGUUGCAUGUGUGCUCCCUUUAGAGCUCCAGGAGGAGUCUGGUGGGAGCAGAUGGGGUCCUGAUGCUGGAGCUGGAUCCUAUUGUUCCUGGUCAUUUGGAUUUGGUCUGCAAACAGAUCAUUAGGUCUGAAUGAGACUUAUGGUGUCAGUGAAAGCAGCGCAAGGCCGACUUACGAGGAUCCCAUGAACGCCACGUCGAACCAGAAAGCCAGGCCGUGC
This is a non-coding RNA of Gasterosteus aculeatus aculeatus (three-spined stickleback), 3749 nucleotides long. NCBI's taxonomy places the organism in Eukaryota, Metazoa, Chordata, Actinopteri, Perciformes, Gasterosteidae. The record is from RefSeq and is a predicted model, not a curated record.